RNAcentral lists this ribosomal RNA (471 nucleotides) under uncultured bacterium. RNAcentral's name for it is "bacterial SSU rRNA". It matches the Rfam family "Bacterial small subunit ribosomal RNA", at positions 355 to 825 of the family's 1533-position model. The record is from RNAcentral.
UGGGGAAUAUUGGACAAUGGGCGCAAGCCUGAUCCAGCCAUGCCGCGUGUGUGAAGAAGGCCUUCGGGUUGUAAAGCACUUUCAGCGAGGAGGAAGGGAGUUGUGUUAAUAGCACAGCUUCUUGACGUUACUCGCAGAAGAAGCACCGGCUAACUCUGUGCCAGCAGCCGCGGUAAUACAGAGGGUGCAAGCGUUAAUCGGAAUUACUGGGCGUAAAGCGCACGUAGGCGGUUUUUAAGUCAGAUGUGAAAGCCCCGGGCUCAACCUGGGAAUUGCAUUUGAAACUGGAAAACUAGAGUGUGUGAGAGGGGGGUAGAAUUCCAAGUGUAGCGGUGAAAUGCGUAGAGAUUUGGAGGAAUACCAGUGGCGAAGGCGGCCCCCUGGCACAACACUGACGCUCAGGUGCGAAAGCGUGGGGAGCAAACAGGAUUAGAUACCCCAGUAGUCCCUGAGCGGGCUGGCAAGGCGCAU